CAGGCCUAACACAUGCAAGUCGAACGGGAAGGCCGCUUCGGCGGUUGGAGAGUGGCGGACGGGUGAGUAACACGUAACUGAUCUGCCCUGUAGACUGGGAUAACCUUUGGAAACAGAGGCUAAUACCGGAUGAGAUCGCGGUAGUUAGAGAGCCGCGAUGUAAAGUGAUAUAGCGCUAUAGGAUGAGGUUGCGGGCCAUCAGCUAGUUGGUGAGGUAAAGGCUCACCGAGGCGAUGACGGCUAGGGGACCUGAGAGGGUGGCCCCCCACACUGGGACUGAGACACGGCCCAGACUCCUACGGGAGGCAGCAGUAAGGGAUAUUGCACAAUGGACGGAAGUCUGAUGCAGCGACGCCGCGUGGGUGAAGAAGGUUUUCGGAUCGUAAAGCCCUUUUCUAUGUGACGAGGAAGGACGGUAGCAUAGGAAUAAGUGUCGGCUGACUACGUGCCAGCAGCCGCGGUAAAACGUAGGACACAAACGUUAUCCGGAGUUACUGGGCGUAAAGA
Molecule: ribosomal RNA, 507 nt
Filed under: uncultured bacterium
Lineage: Bacteria
Description: bacterial SSU rRNA
Rfam family: Bacterial small subunit ribosomal RNA
Source: RNAcentral